This 468-nucleotide ribosomal RNA is filed under the name uncultured bacterium. Its description in RNAcentral is "partial 16S ribosomal RNA". It matches the Rfam family "Bacterial small subunit ribosomal RNA", at positions 28 to 507 of the family's 1533-position model. The record is from RNAcentral.
GACGAACGCUGGCGGCGUGCUUAACACAUGCAAGUCGAACGGAAAGGCCCUGCUUUUGUGGGGUGCUCGAGUGGCGAACGGGUGAGUAACACGUGAGUAACCUGCCCUUGACUUUGGGAUAACUUCAGGAAACUGGGGCUAAUACCGGAUAGGAGCUCCUGCUGCAUGGUGGGGGUUGGAAAGCUUCGGCGGUUGGGGAUGGACUCGCGGCUUAUCAGCUUGUUGGUGGGGUAGUGGCUUACCAAGGCUUUGACGGGUAGCCGGCCUGAGCGGGUGACCGGCCACAUUGGGACUGAGAUACGGCCCAGACUCCUACGGGAGGCAGCAGUGGGGAAUAUUGCACAAUGGGCGGAAGCCUGAUGCAGCAACGCCGCGUGCGGGAUGACGGCCUUCGGGUUGUAAACCGCUUUCGCCUGUGACGAAGCGUGAGUGACGGUAAUGGGUAAAGAAGCACCGGCUAACUACGUG